UCUUCCGUAGUAUAGUGGUCAGUAUGCAAGCUUGUCACGCUUGAGACCCGGGUUCAAUUCCCGGCG
This 66-nucleotide transfer RNA is filed under the name Trichoderma harzianum. RNAcentral's name for it is "Hypocrea lixii tRNA". It matches the Rfam family "tRNA". Rfam says of the family: Transfer RNA (tRNA) molecules are approximately 80 nucleotides in length. Their secondary structure includes four short double-helical elements and three loops (D, anti-codon, and T loops). Further hydrogen bonds mediate the characteristic L-shaped molecular structure. tRNAs have two regions of fundamental functional importance: the anti-codon, which is responsible for specific mRNA codon recognition, and the 3' end, to which the tRNAs corresponding amino acid is attached (by aminoacyl-tRNA synthetases). tRNAs cope with the degeneracy of the genetic code in two manners: having more than one tRNA (with a specific anti-codon) for a particular amino acid; and 'wobble' base-pairing, i.e. permitting non-standard base-pairing at the 3rd anti-codon position. Lineage: Eukaryota; Fungi; Ascomycota; Sordariomycetes; Hypocreales; Hypocreaceae. The record is from Rfam by way of RNAcentral.